This 331-nucleotide unclassified non-coding RNA is filed under the name soil metagenome. RNAcentral's name for it is "partial contains 5.8S ribosomal RNA, internal transcribed spacer 2, and large subunit ribosomal RNA". The stretch from base 1 to 120 matches the Rfam family "5.8S ribosomal RNA", at positions 35 to 154 of the family's 154-position model. The record is from RNAcentral.
GAUGAAGAACGUAGCGAAAUGCGAUAAGUAAUGUGAAUUGCAGAAUUCAGUGAAUCAUCGAAUCUUUGAACGCACAUUGCGCCCCGUGGUAUUCCGGGGGGCAUGCCUGUUCGAGCGUCAUUUCACCACUCAAGCCUCGCUUGGUAUUGGGUAACGCGGUCCGCCGCGUGCCUCAAAUCGACCGGCUGGGUCUUCUGUCCCCUAAGCGUUGUGGAAACUAUUCGCUAAAGGGUGUUCGGGAGGCUACGCCGUAAAACAACCCCAUUUCUAAGGUUGACCUCGGAUCAGGUAGGGAUACCCGCUGAACUUAAGCAUAUCAAUAAGCGGAGGA